UACGUAGGGUGCAAGCGUUGUCCGGAUUUAUUGGGCGUAAAGAGCUCGUAGGCGGCUUGGUAAGUCAGGUGUGAAACCUCCAGGCUCAACCUGGAGACGCCACUUGAUACUGCCAUAGCUAGAGUCCGGUAGGGGAGCGUGGAAUUUCUGGUGUAGCGGUGAAAUGCGUAGAUAUCAAGAGGAACACCUGAGGUGAAGACGGGUUGCUGGGCCAACACUGACGCUGAGGCGCGAAAGCCAGGGGAGCAAACGGG
RNAcentral lists this ribosomal RNA (254 nucleotides) under uncultured bacterium. RNAcentral describes it as "partial 16S ribosomal RNA". It matches the Rfam family "Bacterial small subunit ribosomal RNA", at positions 524 to 776 of the family's 1533-position model. The record is from RNAcentral.